This 507-nucleotide ribosomal RNA is filed under the name uncultured bacterium. Its description in RNAcentral is "partial 16S ribosomal RNA". The record is from RNAcentral.
GGAGUUAGCCGGUGCUUCUUCUGUGAGUGAUGUCCUUCCUGCCGGCUAUUAACCCGCAGGCCUUCUUCCUCACUGAAAGUGCUUUACAACCCGAAGGCCUUCUUCACACACGCGGCAUGGCUGGAUCAGGGUUGCCCCCAUUGUCCAAUAUUCCCCACUGCUGCCUCCCGUAGGAGUCUGGGCCGUGUCUCAGUCCCAGUGUGGCUGAUCAUCCUCUCAGACCAGCUACGGAUCGUCGCCUUGGUGAGCCGUUACCUCACCAACCAGCUAAUCCGACAUAGGCUCAUCCGAUAGCGCGAGGCCCGAAGGUCCCCCGCUUUCCCCCGUAGGGCGUAUGCGGUAUUAGCCUGGGUUUCCCCAGGUUAUCCCCCACUACCGGGCAGAUUCCUAUGCAUUACUCACCCGUCCGCCGCUCGCCACCAGGGAGCAAGCUCCCCGUGCUGCCGCUCGACUUGCAUGUGUUAGGCCUGCCGCCACGCGUCAUCUGAGCAGAACUACAACUACUGA